UGGGGAAUAUUGCACAAUGGGCGAAAGCCUGAUGCAGCGACGCCGCGUGAAGGAUGAAGUAUUUCGGUAUGUAAACUUCUAUCAGCAGGGAAGAAAAUGACGGUACCUGACUAAGAAGCCCCGGCUAACUACGUGCCAGC
Molecule: ribosomal RNA, 140 nt
Filed under: uncultured bacterium
Lineage: Bacteria
Description: partial 16S ribosomal RNA
Rfam family: Bacterial small subunit ribosomal RNA
Source: RNAcentral